Molecule: ribosomal RNA, 542 nt
Filed under: uncultured Gammaproteobacteria bacterium
Lineage: Bacteria; Pseudomonadati; Pseudomonadota; Gammaproteobacteria
Description: bacterial SSU rRNA
Rfam family: Bacterial small subunit ribosomal RNA
Source: RNAcentral
GCCUAACACAUGCAAGUCGAACGGCAGCACAGCACGGGGCAACCCGUGUGGGUGGCGAGUGGCGGACGGGUGAGUAAUGCAUGGGAAUCUACCCAGUAGCGGGGGACAACCCGGAGAAAUCCGGGCUAAUACCGCAUACGCCCUAAGGGGGAAAGCGGGGGACCGAAAGGCCUCGCACUAUUGGAUGAGCCCAUGUCGGAUUAGCUAGUUGGUAGGGUAACGGCCUACCAAGGCGACAAUCCGUAGCUGGUCUGAGAGGACGAUCAGCCACACCGGAACUGAGACACGGUCCGGACUCCUACGGGAGGCAGCAGUGGGGAAUAUUGAACAAUGGGGGCAACCCUGAUCCAGCAAUGCCGCGUGUGUAAAGAAGGCCUGCGGGUUGUAAAGCACUUUCAGUGGGGACAAAAAGCGCCGUGUUAAUACCGCGGCUUUUGAUUUAACCCAUAGAAGAAGCACCGGCUAACUCUGUGCCAGCAGCCGCGGUAAUACAGAGGGUGCGAGCGUUAAUCGGAAUUACUGGGCGUAAGCGCACGUAGGCG